This 253-nucleotide ribosomal RNA is filed under the name uncultured bacterium. RNAcentral's name for it is "partial 16S ribosomal RNA". It matches the Rfam family "Bacterial small subunit ribosomal RNA", at positions 524 to 776 of the family's 1533-position model. The record is from RNAcentral.
UACGUAGGGUGCGAGCGUUGUCCGGAAUUACUGGGCGUAAAGAGCUCGUAGGUGGUUUGUCGCGUUGUUCGUGAAAACCGGGGGCUUAACCCUCGGCGUGCGGGCGAUACGGGCAGACUUGAGUACUGCAGGGGAGACUGGAAUUCCUGGUGUAGCGGUGGAAUGCGCAGAUAUCAGGAGGAACACCGAUGGCGAAGGCAGAUCUCUGGGCCGUAACUGACGCUGAGGAGCGAAAGCAUGGGGAGCGAACAGG